AGUGAACGCUGGCGGUAGGCCUAACACAUGCAAGUCGAACGGCAGCACAGAGGAGCUUGCUCCUUGGGUGGCGAGUGGCGGACGGGUGAGGAAUACAUCGGAAUCUACUCUGUCGUGGGGGAUAACGUAGGGAAACUUACGCUAAUACCGCAUACGACCUACGGGUGAAAGCAGGGGAUCUUCGGACCUUGCGCGAUUGAAUGAGCCGAUGUCGGAUUAGCUAGUUGGUGGGGCAAAGGCCUACCAAGGCGACGAUCCGUAACUGGUCUGAGAGGAUGAUCAGUCACACUGGAACUGAGACACGGUCCAGACUCCGUAGGGAGCAGCAGUGGGGAAUAUUGGACAAGUGGGCGAAAGCCUGAUCCAGCCAUGCCGCGUGCGUGAAGAAGGUCUUCGGAUUGUAAAGC
RNAcentral lists this ribosomal RNA (407 nucleotides) under uncultured bacterium. RNAcentral's name for it is "bacterial SSU rRNA". It matches the Rfam family "Bacterial small subunit ribosomal RNA", at positions 29 to 431 of the family's 1533-position model. The record is from RNAcentral.